CUGAGAUCAAGACCUGAGCUGAAAUCAAGAGUUGGAUGCCUAACCAACCAAGCCACCCAGGUGUUAAUCCCAAAAGCACUCCUUAAUCUCCAACUCAGAGUCUGCUUCCCAGGGAACCCAAACUAUGACAAUGAAUCUCCAUGAUCAGAAAUGUUUGGAUCCAUAUACUCUCUAUCAACUCUUUGCCUCGAUGAUGUUUUAUCUGUAGUCCACCUCCACCUGUAAUUGGGAGCAAUUACUCAUGCCAGAGUGGUGACUCCUUUCCUUGGCACAAAGAAUCCAGAAGUGAUUGAGUGGCACAUGCGGUGUACAAAGUCUCUUACUGUGUCCCUGGUGGAAGGGUUUCCCUUCCAGGAACAGACUUCUAGAUCCCAGAGAGUUAGUUGCUGCUACUGGAAGCAAGAUUCUCCAAGAGGAUCACUGGCAGUAAUCAUGCUAGAAGAUUUCAACGUUCCACUUUCUACCAGUGAUGAUGUUUUCAUUGCCAAUUGCCCGGUUUGUAAUGCAGCUCCAAAAUCCCAUUUUAGAGUUUGCUUCCCGGGACCAGUUCUGUUAGCAACUGUCAUAGGCCACGAUCCCCAGGAAAGAGACUCUGGAGUAGAGAUUUCCAUGCAGAAGGUCUGCUGCUGAGUGCUCUUGGGAACAAUACCCGUACAGGAGCGAAGAAAGCCAAGACUGAACCGAAGGAGUUGAACUACUAGGCAGGUGCAGCAAAGCUUCGUCAGGCCCCCUGAAUUUGAGCUGAUGUCCCCACUUCCUGGUGCCUCAGCCUGGAGAUGAGACAAACAGGACCUCGGGGCAGGGGAUCAGCAGCUGUCCUGCCGGGCAGCUGGCAGGGGCAUGGCCCCAGCACACAGACCCCUUUCUUCAUCCUUGGAGGGAGUGGGAGGCUGCUGUAAGUGGAGCCUUGUGAUUUGGU
Long non-coding RNA from Zalophus californianus (California sea lion), 919 nucleotides. RefSeq lists it as uncharacterized. The record is from RefSeq and is a predicted model, not a curated record. The transcript has 5 exons. NCBI's taxonomy places the organism in Eukaryota, Metazoa, Chordata, Mammalia, Carnivora, Otariidae.